This 446-nucleotide ribosomal RNA is filed under the name uncultured bacterium. RNAcentral describes it as "bacterial SSU rRNA". It matches the Rfam family "Bacterial small subunit ribosomal RNA", at positions 331 to 794 of the family's 1533-position model. The record is from RNAcentral.
CCAGACUCCUACGGGAGGCAGCAGUGGGGAAUAUUGCACAAUGGGGGAAACCCUGAUGCAGCGACGCCGCGUGAGUGAAGAAGUAUUUCGGUAUGUAAAGCUCUAUCAGCAGGGAAGAAAAUGACGGUACCUGACUAAGAAGCCCCGGCUAACUACGUGCCAGCAGCCGCGGUAAUACGUAGGGGGCAAGCGUUAUCCGGAUUUACUGGGUGUAAAGGGAGCGUAGACGGCAUGGCAAGUCAGAUGUGAAAGCCCGGGGCUCAACCCCGGGACUGCAUUUGAAACUGUCAGGCUGGAGUGCAGGAGAGGUAAGUGGAAUUCCUAGUGUAGCGGUGAAAUGCGUAGAUAUCAGGAGGAACACCGGCGGCGAAGGCGGCCUGCUGGACCGUGACUGACGUUGAGGCUCGAGAGCGUGGGGAGCAAACAGGAUUAGAUACCCCCGUAAC